This 422-nucleotide ribosomal RNA is filed under the name uncultured bacterium. RNAcentral describes it as "bacterial SSU rRNA". It matches the Rfam family "Bacterial small subunit ribosomal RNA", at positions 355 to 774 of the family's 1533-position model. The record is from RNAcentral.
UGAGGAAUAUUGGUCAAUGGGUGCAAGCCUGAACCAGCCAUCCCGCGUGAAGGACGACUGCCCUAUGGGUUGUAAACCUCUUUUGUAUAGGGAUAAACCUACCCUCGUGAGGGUAGCUGAAGGUACUAUACGAAUAAGCACCGGCUAACUCCGUGCCAGCAGCCGCGGUAAUACGGAGGGUGCAAGCGUUAUCCGGCUUUAUUGGGUUUAAAGGGUCCGUAGGCGGACUUAUAAGUCAGUGGUGAAAGCCUGUCGCUUAACGAUAGAACUGCCAUUGAUACUGUAAGUCUUGAGUAUAUUUGAGGUAGCUGGAAUAAGUAGUGUAGCGGUGAAAUGCAUAGAUAUUACUUAGAACACCAAUUGCGAAGGCAGGUUACCAAGAUAUAACUGACGCUGAGGGACGAAAGCGUGGGGAGCGAACA